RNAcentral lists this ribosomal RNA (472 nucleotides) under uncultured bacterium. RNAcentral's name for it is "SSU rRNA". It matches the Rfam family "Bacterial small subunit ribosomal RNA", at positions 26 to 518 of the family's 1533-position model. The record is from RNAcentral.
AGGACGAACGCUGGCGGUGUGCUUCACACAUGCAAGUCGAACGAGGUAGCAAUACCUAGUGGCGGACGGGUGAGUAACGCGUGGGAAUCUGCCUUUAGAUGGGGGAUAACGGGCCGAAAGGUCCGCUAAUACCGCAUAGGCCGCAAGGUUAAAGGAGUAAUCCGUCUAAAGAUGAGCCCGCGUCCGAUUAGCUAGUUGGUAGGGUAAAAGCCUACCAAGGCGACGAUCGGUAGCUGGUCUGAGAGGAUGAUCAGCCACAAUGGGACUGAGACACGGCCCAUACUCCUACGGGAGGCAGCAGUGGGGAAUCUUGCGCAAUGCGCGAAAGCGUGACGCAGCAACGCCGCGUGGGGGAAGAAGGCUUUCGGGUUGUAAACCCCUUUCAGUUGGGACGAAGCCUCAUCGGUUAAUAGCCGCGUGGGGUGACGGUACCUUCACAAGAAGCACCGGCUAACUACGUGCCAGCAGCCGC